RNAcentral lists this ribosomal RNA (557 nucleotides) under uncultured bacterium. RNAcentral's name for it is "bacterial SSU rRNA". It matches the Rfam family "Bacterial small subunit ribosomal RNA", at positions 102 to 694 of the family's 1533-position model. The record is from RNAcentral.
ACGGGUGAGUAACACGUGGGAACGUACCCUUUUCUACGGAAUAACCCAGGGAAACUUGGACUAAUACCGUAUGUGCCCUUCGGGGGAAAGAUUUAUCGGAAAAGGAUCGGCCCGCGUUGGAUUAGCUAGUUGGUGGGGUAAAGGCCUACCAAGGCGACGAUCCAUAGCUGGUCUGAGAGGAUGAUCAGCCACAUUGGGACUGAGACACGGCCCAAACUCCUACGGGAGGCAGCAGUGGGGAAUAUUGGACAAUGGGCGCAAGCCUGAUCUAGCCAUGCCGCGUGAGUGAUGAAGGCCUUAGGGUUGAAAAGCUCUUUCACCGGAGAAGAUAAUGACGGUAUCCGGAGAAGAAGCCCCGGCUAACUUCGUGCCAGCAGCCGCGGUAAUACGAAGGGGGCUAGCGUUGUUCGGAAUUACUGGGCGUAAAGCGCACGUAGGCGGAUAUUUAAGUCAGGGGUGAAAUCCCAGAGCUCAACUCUGGAACUGCCUUUGAUACUGGGUAUCUUGAGUAUGGAAGAGGUAAGUGGAAUUCCGAGUGUAGAGGUGAAAUUCGUAGA